This 588-nucleotide long non-coding RNA is filed under the name Hordeum vulgare. RNAcentral describes it as "long non-coding RNA (HVUL_LNC017387)". Lineage: Eukaryota; Viridiplantae; Streptophyta; Magnoliopsida; Poales; Poaceae. The record is from RNAcentral.
UCACUUCAAGAAAACGUGAGACAUGAUAUUCAAGGGCAUUUUUCUCGAAAAGAACGUGCAAGGACAAACUAGAAUAAGAAACUCCACCUCCGUCAUCAUAACUCCAUGUUGAAUCCUCUUCUAGAGCCACCUAUGGUCCUUAUCUUAACCCUGGCAUACUAUUUUAUGCAUCAUCACCAAAUUUUCCUUUUGAUGUAGGUCAUCUCGGUGUGACCAAAAUAUAAAGAGUUCCUUAAUAUGUAACCAUGUUUACUAGGAGUCAAUGAUUCAGAAAAUACUGAUGGACUAAUUGACAAUUGUACCAUUUUCUACAGUUUUUUUUUACCUAUGAGCUAUGCUAGAAACAUUGUAUGGUGGCUGCAAUAAAUCCACUACAACCAGGAUACAAGGAAGUUUAGACGCAUCGAUAGGUAUAAGUUUUAAAGUCGUGAAGUUCAAUGGAUUUAGAACUUCAAAAUUAGAACGUAAAUGUGUGACUUAUUUGCCAUCUAUGUUACCUUUUUUCGCAAAAUUUUAGGGAUAAAGCAACUGAUGAGGAAAUCAAUUGCAACUAGGUAAUUCAUGUAUCUAAUAUAGAUCUUUUAUAAA